UGGGGUGACGCAGAGUGGUAGCUAGGCUUCCUUAUUGGAUUGGAGUGCAAGCGUGUGGCCUGUGGGGUUGGGAAAUCCGCCCCACAUAGAAGGGUGAGGCGUGAUGCGGACACCAUGUUGUGGUGGUAGUUAGUGUGCCUGUGCUGCCGAGAAAAGCCUCUAGCGAGUGCGUGCAUGGCCCGUACCGGAAACCGACACAGGUGGUCAGGUAGAGAAUACUAAGGCGUUCGGGUGAACUGUGGUUAAGGAACUCGGCAAAAUGCCCCCGUAACUUCGGGAGAAGGGGGACCAUUACUGGUUGCUGACAGCAUUAUAGCUGGUGGUGGUCGCAGAGGAGAGAGGGAAGCGACUGUUUAUUAAAAACACAGGUCCGUGCGAAAACGUGGAAGUUGAGGUAUACGGACUGACGCCUGCCCGGUGCUGGAAGGUUAAGAGGACCCGUGAGCAUGCCUAUGGUGUGCGAGGCGGAGAAUUGAAGCCCCAGUAAACGGCGGUGGUAACUAUAACCAUCCUAAGGUAGCGAAAUUCCUUGUCGGGUAAGUUCCGACCUGCACGAAUGGCGUAACGACUUCCCUGCUGUCUCAACCACAGGCCCGGUGAAAUUGCAGUACGAGUAAAGAUGCUCGUUUCGCGCGGCAGGACGAAAAGACCCCGGGACCUUUACUAUAGCUUGGUAUUGGUGUUUGGUCAUGCUUGUGUAGGAUAGGUGGGAGACUGUGAAGCCGUGACGCUAGUUGUGGUGGAGUCGGCCAGUGAAAUACCACUCUGGUGUGAUUGGGUACCUGAACCUUGGCCCGUGAUCCGGGUUGGGGACAGUGCCUGGUGGGUAGUUUAACUGGGGCGGUUGCCUCCUAAAUGGUAACGGAGGCGCCCAAAGGUUUCCUCAGUCUGGUUGGCAAUCAGAUGGUGAGUGUAAGUGUAUAAGGGAGCUUGACUGUGACACUGACGGGUGGAGCAGGUGCGAAAGCAGGGACUAGUGAUCCGGCAUCGACGUGUGGUUGUGGUGUCGCUCAACGGAUAAAAGGUACCCCGGGGAUAACAGGCUGAUCUUCCCCAAGAGUUCAUAUCGACGGGAUGGUUUGGCACCUCGAUGUCGGCUCGUCGCAUCCUGGGGCUGGAGUAGGUCCCA
Molecule: ribosomal RNA, 1129 nt
Filed under: human oral metagenome
Description: bacterial LSU rRNA
Rfam family: Bacterial large subunit ribosomal RNA
Source: RNAcentral